AGCUCCGGUGGCCUAGUGGUUAGAGCAUCCGCCUCGGAUACGGGAGGUCGUGGAUUUGAUCCCUGAUCGAGUCA
Non-coding RNA from Potamilus streckersoni, 74 nucleotides. Lineage: Eukaryota; Metazoa; Mollusca; Bivalvia; Unionida; Unionidae. The record is from the annotation of a GenBank genome assembly.